AUUGAACGCUGGCGGAAUGCUUUACACAUGCAAGUCGAACGGCAGCACGGACUUCGGUCUGGUGGCGAGUGGCGAACGGGUGAGUAAUGUAUCGGAACGUGCCCAGUCGUGGGGGAUAACGUAGUGAAAAUUACGCUAAUACCGCAUACGAUCUAUGGAUGAAAGCGGGGGAUCGCAAGACCUCGCGCGAUUGGAGCGGCCGAUAUCAGAUUAGGUAGUUGGUGGGGUAAAAGCCCACCAAGCCACCGAUCUGUAGCUGGUCUGAGAGGACGACCAGCCACACUGGAACUGAGACACGGUCCAGACUCCUACGGGAGGCAGCAGUGGGGAAUUUUGGACAAUGGGCGAAAGCCUGAUCCAGCCAUUCCGCGUGCAGGAUGAAGGCCCUCGGGUUGUAAACUGCUUUUGUACAGAACGAAAAGGUUUCUACUAAUACUAGGAGCUCAUGACGGUACUGUAAGAAUAAGCACCGGCUAACUACGUGCCAGCAGCCGCGGUAA
RNAcentral lists this ribosomal RNA (500 nucleotides) under uncultured bacterium. RNAcentral describes it as "partial 16S ribosomal RNA". It matches the Rfam family "Bacterial small subunit ribosomal RNA", at positions 30 to 523 of the family's 1533-position model. The record is from RNAcentral.